RNAcentral lists this long non-coding RNA (292 nucleotides) under Homo sapiens (human). RNAcentral describes it as "non-protein coding lnc-WNK1-2:1". It matches the Rfam family "Metazoan signal recognition particle RNA". Rfam says of the family: The signal recognition particle (SRP) is a universally conserved ribonucleoprotein. It is involved in the co-translational targeting of proteins to membranes. Lineage: Eukaryota; Metazoa; Chordata; Mammalia; Primates; Hominidae. The record is from RNAcentral.
GCUGGGCGUGGUGGCGGGUGCCUGUAAUCCCAGCUAUUUGGGAAGCUGAGGCAGGAGAAUCGCUUGAACCCGGGAGGAGAGGUUGCAGUGAGCCGAGAUCAUGCCACUGCAUUCCAGCCUGGGUGACAGAGGAAGACUCUGUCUCCAAAAAAAAAAAAAAGAGAAAGGAAAUAUGAUUUUUUUUUUUUUUUUUGACAGAGAGUUUCAUUCUUGUUGCCCAGGCUGUAGUGCAAUGGCAUGAUCUCAUCUCACUGCAACCUCCACCUCCCAGGUUCAAGUGAUUCUCCUGCCU